UACGAAGGGGGCUAGCGUUGCUCGGAAUCACUGGGCGUAAAGGGUGCGUAGGCGGGCCUUUAAGUCAGGGGGGAAAUCCUGGAGCUCAACUCCAGAACUGCCUUUGAUACUGAAGAUCUUGAGUUCGGGAGAGGUGAGUGGAACUGCGAGUGUAGAGGUGAAAUUCGUAGAUAUUCGCAAGAACACCAGUGGCGAAGGCGGCUCGCUGGCCCGAUACUGACGCUGAUGCACGAAAGCGUGGGGAGCAAACAGG
RNAcentral lists this ribosomal RNA (253 nucleotides) under uncultured bacterium. Its description in RNAcentral is "partial 16S ribosomal RNA". It matches the Rfam family "Bacterial small subunit ribosomal RNA", at positions 524 to 776 of the family's 1533-position model. The record is from RNAcentral.